Molecule: long non-coding RNA, 1042 nt
Organism: Oncorhynchus keta (chum salmon)
Lineage: Eukaryota; Metazoa; Chordata; Actinopteri; Salmoniformes; Salmonidae
Exons: 6
Source: RefSeq, a predicted model, not a curated record
AGGUAGUUGAGGUAAUAAUGAGACUAUAAGGAGUACCAGUACUGAGUCAAUGUGCAGGGUACCAGGUAGUUGAGGUAAUAAUGAGACUAUAAGGAGUACCAGUACUGAGUCAAUGUGCAGGGUACCAGGUAGUUGAGGUAAUAAUGAGACUAUAAGGAGUACCAGUACUGAGUCAAUGUGCAGGGUACCAGGUAGUUGAGGUAAUAAUGAGACUAUAAGGAGUACCAGUACUGAGUCAAUGUGCAGGGUACCAGGUAGUUGAGGUAAUAAUGAGACUAUAAGGAGUACCAGUACUGAGUCAAUGUGCAGGGUACCAGGUAGUUGAGGUAAUAAUGAGACUAUAAGGAGUACCAGUACUGAGUCAAUGUGCAGGGUACCAGGUAGUUGAGGUAAUAAUGAGACUAUAAGGAGUACCAGUACUGAGUCAAUGUGCAGGGUACCAGGUAGUUGAGGUAAUAAUGAGACUAUAAGGAGUACCAGUACUGAGUCAAUGUGCAGGGUACCAGGUAGUUGAGGUAAUAAUGAGACUAUAAGGAGUACCAGUACUGAGUCAAUGUGCAGGGUACCAGGUAGUUGAGGUAAUAAUGAGACUAUAAGGAGGACCAGUACUGAGUCAAUGUGCAGGGUACCAGGUAGUUGAGGUAAUAAUGAGACUAUAAGGAGUACCAGUACUGAGUCAAUGUGCAGGGUACCAGGUAGUUGAGGUAAUAAUGAGACUAUAAGGAGUACCAGUACUGAGUCAAUGUGCAGGGUACCAGGUAGUUGAGGUAAUAAUGAGACUAUAAGGAGUACCAGUACUGAGUCAAUGUGCAGGGUACCAGGUAGUUGAGGUAAUAAUGAGACUAUAAGGAGAACCAGUACUGAGUCAAUGUGCAGGGUACCAGGUAGUUGAGGUAAUAAUGAGACUAUAAGGAGAACCAGUACUGAGUCAAUGUGCAGGGUACCAGGUAGUUGAGGUAAUAAUGAGACUAUAAGGAGAACCAGUACUGAGUCAAUGUGCAGGGUACCAGGUAGUUGAGGUAAUAAUGAGACUAUAAUUGAG